GGUUAAGCGACUAAGCGUACACGGUGGAUGCCCUGGCAGUCAGAGGCGAUGAAGGACGUGCUAAUCUGCGAUAAGCGCCGGUAAGGUGAUAUGAACCGUUAUAACCGGCGAUUUCCGAAUGGGGAAACCCAGUGUGACUCGUCACACUAUCAUUAACUGAAUCCAUAGGUUAAUGAGGCGAACCGGGGGAACUGAAACAUCUAAGUACCCCGAGGAAAAGAAAUCAACCGAGAUUCCCCCAGUAGCGGCGAGCGAACGGGGAGGAGCCCAGAGCCUGAAUCAGCAUGUGUGUUAGUGGAAGCGUCUGGAAAGGCGCGCGAUACAGGGUGACAGCCCCGUACACAAAAGCGCAUGUGCUGUGAGCUCGAUGAGUAGGGCGGGACACGUGGUAUCCUGUCUGAAUAUGGGGGGACCAUCCUCCAAGGCUAAAUACUCCUGACUGACCGAUAGUGAACCAGUACCGUGAGGGAAAGGCGAAAAGAACCCCGGCGAGGGGAGUGAAAAAGAACCUGAAACCGUGUACGUACAAGCAGUGGGAGCCCCACCACUAAGCCAGUGGUGAACUCCACAUACGCAUCCUUUGC
Molecule: ribosomal RNA, 584 nt
Filed under: Salmonella enterica subsp. enterica
Lineage: Bacteria; Pseudomonadati; Pseudomonadota; Gammaproteobacteria; Enterobacterales; Enterobacteriaceae
Description: partial 23S ribosomal RNA
Rfam family: Bacterial large subunit ribosomal RNA
Source: RNAcentral